This 495-nucleotide non-coding RNA is filed under the name uncultured Paraglomus. Its description in RNAcentral is "SSU rRNA". It matches the Rfam family "Eukaryotic small subunit ribosomal RNA", at positions 591 to 1092 of the family's 1831-position model. RNAcentral also lists the same sequence under 1 other name. Lineage: Eukaryota; Fungi; Glomeromycota; Glomeromycetes; Paraglomerales; Paraglomeraceae. The record is from RNAcentral.
CCAAUAGCGUAUAUUAAAGUUGUUGUGGUUAAAAAGCUCGUAGUUGAACCUUGGGCCUGGCUGGCCGGUCCGCCUCACCGCGUGUACUGGUCCGGCCGGGCCUUUCCCUCUGUGGAACCUCAUGCCCUUCACUGGGUGUGACGGGGAAGCAGGACUUUUACUGUGAAAAAAUUAGAGUGCUCCAAGCAGGCCUAUGCUCGAAUACAUUAGCAUGGAAUAAUAAAAUAGGACGUGCGGUUCUAUUUUGUUGGUUUCUAGGACCGCCGUAAUGAUUAAUAGGGACAGUCGGGGGCAUCAGUAUUCAAUUGUCAGAGGUGAAAUUCUUGGAUUUAUUGAAGACUAACUACUGCGAAAGCAUUUGCCAAGGAUGUUUUCAUUAAUCAGGAACGAAAGUUAGGGGAUCGAAGACGAUCAGAUACCGUCGUAGUCUUAACCAUAAACUAUGCCGACUAGGGAUCGGACGAUGUUAUUUUUUGACUCGUUCGGCACCUUACG